Molecule: long non-coding RNA, 313 nt
Filed under: Lathyrus oleraceus (garden pea)
Lineage: Eukaryota; Viridiplantae; Streptophyta; Magnoliopsida; Fabales; Fabaceae
Description: Pisum sativum (pea) long non-coding RNA (PSAT_LNC004270)
Source: RNAcentral
AAUCCAAAAUUUCCAUUACCAGAAUCUGAUAAAUUUAAAACUUGAAUUUACAAUCGAAACUGGCCCAUAUACAUUGCAAAACCUUAAAUCUAUUUAUAACAUAAAAUUAAUCUAAAUCAAAUACAUAAUCAAAUCAAAUAUAAAUUUCCUAAAUCGAUUAAUCUAAUUUAAAUCCUAACCUAAAAACUAGUCUAUAUAAACCCUAAUCUAAAACAGACUGAGGGAGGAAGAAAACCCUAAAAGAAUCCCCAUAAUUCUUGUUCCUGCGAUCCACCAAACUCUCACCAAAGCUCCCAUUAAACAGAGGUUAGGG